This 820-nucleotide ribosomal RNA is filed under the name Pseudolachnella lancangensis. RNAcentral's name for it is "Pseudolachnella sp. GCR-2022a partial large subunit ribosomal RNA". It matches the Rfam family "Eukaryotic large subunit ribosomal RNA", at positions 82 to 936 of the family's 3401-position model. Lineage: Eukaryota; Fungi; Ascomycota; Sordariomycetes; Chaetosphaeriales; Chaetosphaeriaceae. The record is from RNAcentral.
AGUAACGGCGAGUGAAGCGGCAACAGCUCAAAUUUGAAAUCUGGCCCUAGGCCCGAGUUGUAAUUUGCAGAGGAUGCUUCGGGCGCGGUGCCUUCCAAGUCCCCUGGAACGGGGCGCCACAGAGGGUGAGAGCCCCGUCAGGUCGGCCGCCAAGCCUAUGUGAAGCUCCUUCGACGAGUCGAGUAGUUUGGGAAUGCUGCUCUAAAUGGGAGGUAGACCCCUUCUAAAGCUAAAUACCGGCCAGAGACCGAUAGCGCACAAGUAGAGUGAUCGAAAGAUGAAAAGCACUUUGAAAAGAGGGUUAAACAGUACGUGAAAUUGUUGAAAGGGAAGCGCUUGUGACCAGACGUGCACCGGGCGCUCAGCGGGCGUUCUCGCCCGUGCACUCGCCCCGGUGCAGGCCAGCGUCGGUUCGGGAGGGGGGACAAAGGCAUCAGGAACGUAGCUCCCCCGGGAGUGUUAUAGCCUGGCGCGUCAUGCCCCCGCCCGGACCGAGGUUCGCGCUCCGCAAGGACGCUGGCGUAAUGGUCCCCAGCGGCCCGUCUUGAAACACGGACCAAGGAGUCGAGGUUUUGCGCGAGUGUUUGGGUGUCAAACCCGCACGCGUAAUGAAAGUGAACGCAGGUGGGAGCUUCGGCGCACCACCGACCGAUCCUGAUGUUCUCGGAUGGAUUUGAGUAGGAGCGUAGGGCCUCGGACCCGAAAGAUGGUGAACUAUACUUGGAUAGGGUGAAGCCAGAGGAAACUCUGGUGGAGGCUCGCAGCGGUUCUGACGUGCAAAUCGAUCGUCAAAUCUGAGUAUGGGGGCGAAAGACUAAUC